Molecule: ribosomal RNA, 485 nt
Filed under: Ferroacidibacillus organovorans
Lineage: Bacteria; Bacillati; Bacillota; Bacilli; Caryophanales; Alicyclobacillaceae
Description: bacterial SSU rRNA
Rfam family: Bacterial small subunit ribosomal RNA
Source: RNAcentral
GCUCGUGUCGUGAGAUGUUGGGUUAAGUCCCGCAACGAGCGCAACCCUUGAUCGAUGUUACCAGCGCGUAAAGGCGGGGACUCAUCGAUGACUGCCGGUGACAAACCGGAGGAAGGCGGGGAUGACGUCAAAUCAUCAUGCCCCUUAUGUCCUGGGCUACACACGUGCUACAAUGGGCGGUACAACGGGAAGCGAGACCGCGAGGUGGAGCGAAACCCAAAAAGCCGUUCAUAGUUCGGAUUGCAGGCUGCAACUCGCCUGCAUGAAGCCGGAAUUGCUAGUAAUCGCGGAUCAGCAUGCCGCGGUGAAUACGUUCCCGGGCCUUGUACACACCGCCCGUCACACCACGAGAGUGGGUAACACCCGAAGUCGGUGAGGUAACCCGCAAGGGGGCCAGCCGCCGAAGGUGGGAUUCGCGAUUGGGGUGAAGUCGUAACAAGGUAGCCGUAUCGGAAGGUGCGGCUGGAUCACCUCCUUUCUAAGGA